UUUCUUAAUAAAUAAGCUUUACACCACAGGUAUUGAGAUCUGCAAGCUGUUAUAUUUUUAACAGCCUUUGUCCCAAAAUCUUACAGACAAUCUGCAGAAUAAGAAAAAUCUGUCUCACACUGACAGUUUUUGUAGCAAUGUGAAUCAUCACUACUCCACCUAAAUUCCCUUUGCUUGUAUUCAUGUGGCAGUUUAGCUUUAUUUCUCACACCACCUCGCAGAGCUCUUAGAGGAGCUUCACAAGUGGGUGCAAUGCAAUUCUUCCCUCCAGUUUCAUUGACAGCAUAUCACUGUGCUCUUUCUUCUGCAUGAUGAUGGUUUUAGAUCUGCCUUUCAGCCCUUCAAGCCACCAAAUUUGGGUGGCCAGACAGAUUUUGUAGACAGAUAAAUAAUUGUUCAGUAAAACUUAUUGUCCCCUCUCUCUCUUCUUUUUUUUUUUUUUUUUUAUACCCUAAAGGCAAAAGUUUUUUGAAGUCCAAAUUGUGCCAGGCUGUUUUGUACCUGCACAGAUCAUACAGAGACUUUGCUUCUUUUUCAAGCCUCCUGUGGAGAUUGCUGAAAAAUGAAGACUGACUCUCAAUACUUUCAGGAACUCUCUUGGACAUGAUGGUGGAUUGGAGGCUGGCAUCAGGAAAAGGAAGGCAGGAGAAAAGCAAGGAGGAUAGAAAACAGAUGAAAAUGAACCCAGAGGAAUAUAAGUGUCCUAUUCCCAGCAGCAGUGAUCCAUUUCCCUUGGCAACAUAUGUCUGAUGCCACAG
Non-coding RNA from Zonotrichia albicollis (white-throated sparrow), 758 nucleotides. The record is from RefSeq and is a predicted model, not a curated record. Lineage: Eukaryota; Metazoa; Chordata; Aves; Passeriformes; Passerellidae.